Molecule: ribosomal RNA, 429 nt
Filed under: uncultured prokaryote
Also listed under: 1 other name
Description: bacterial SSU rRNA
Rfam family: Bacterial small subunit ribosomal RNA
Source: RNAcentral
UGGGGGAUAUUGCACAAUGGAGGAAACUCUGAUGCAGCAACGCCGCGUGAGUGAAGAAGGUUUUCGGAUCGUAAAACUCUGUUGUUAGAGAAGAACAAGGAUGAGAGUAACUGUUCAUCCCUUGACGGUAUCUAACCAGAAAGCCACGGCUAACUACGUGCCAGCAGCCGCGGUAAUACGUAGGUGGCAAGCGUUGUCCGGAUUUAUUGGGCGUAAAGCGAGCGCAGGCGGUUUCUUAAGUCUGAUGUGAAAGCCCCCGGCUCAACCGGGGAGGGUCAUUGGAAACUGGGAGACUUGAGUGCAGAAGAGGAGAGUGGAAUUCCAUGUGUAGCGGUGAAAUGCGUAGAUAUAUGGAGGAACACCAGUGGCGAAGGCGGCUCUCUGGUCUGUAACUGACGCUGAGGCUCGAAAGCGUGGGGAGCAAACAGG